GACGAACGCUGGCGGCGUGCUUAACACAUGCAAGUCGAGCGAUGAAGCACCUUCGGGUGUGAAUUAGCGGCGAACGGGUGAGGAACACGUGAGAAAUCUGCCUUCAACACUGGGAUAACUCCGGGAAACCGGGGCUAAUACCGGAUAUGAAACCUGCGGGCAUCCGCGGGUUUGGAAAGUUUUUCGGUUGAAGAUGAUCUCGCGGCCUAUCAGCUUGUUGGUGAGGUAAUGGCUCACCAAGGCGACGACGGGUAGCCGGCCUGAGAGGGCGACCGGCCACACUGGGACUGAGACACGGCCCAGACUCCUACGGGAGGCAGCAGUGGGGAAUAUUGGGCAAUGGAGGAAACUCUGACCCAGCGACGCCGCGUGCGGGAUGAAGGCCUUCGGGUUGUAAACCGGCUUUCAGCAGGGAAGAAGCGAAAGUGACGGUACCUGCAGAAGAAGCACCGGCUAACUAUGUG
RNAcentral lists this ribosomal RNA (464 nucleotides) under uncultured bacterium. Its description in RNAcentral is "bacterial SSU rRNA". It matches the Rfam family "Bacterial small subunit ribosomal RNA", at positions 28 to 507 of the family's 1533-position model. The record is from RNAcentral.